UAAUACGUAGGGGGCUAGCGUUGUCCGGAUUUAUUGGGCGUAAAGAGCGUGUAGGCGGCCGGCUAGGUCUGGUGUGAAAACUCGAGGCUCAACCUCGAGAUGUCGCCGGAAACCAGUCGGCUAGAGUCCGGAAGAGGAGAGUGGAAUUCCUGGUGUAGCGGUGAAAUGCGCAGAUAUCAGGAAGAACACCUAUGGCGAAAGCAGCUCUCUGGGACGGUACUGACGCUGAGACGCGAAAGCGUGGGGAGCGAACAGGAUUAGAUACCCUGGUAGUCCACGCCGUAAACGAUGGGCGCUAGGUGUGGGCGGUGUCGACUCCGUCCGUGCCGAAGCUAACGCAUUAAGCGCCCCGCCUGGGGAGUACGGCCGCAAGGCUA
This 377-nucleotide ribosomal RNA is filed under the name uncultured bacterium. RNAcentral's name for it is "bacterial SSU rRNA". It matches the Rfam family "Bacterial small subunit ribosomal RNA", at positions 521 to 896 of the family's 1533-position model. The record is from RNAcentral.